Molecule: ribosomal RNA, 431 nt
Filed under: uncultured bacterium
Lineage: Bacteria
Description: bacterial SSU rRNA
Rfam family: Bacterial small subunit ribosomal RNA
Source: RNAcentral
AGCGAACGCUGGCGGCAGGCCUAAUACAUGCAAGUCGAGCGCACCUUCGGGUGAGCGGCGGACGGGUGAGUAACGCGUGGGAACGUGCCCUUUGGUACGGAACAACUGAGGGAAACUUCAGCUAAUACCGUAUGUGCCCUACGGGGGAAAGAUUUAUCGCCAUUGGAGCGGCCCGCGUUAGAUUAGCUAGUUGGUAGGGUAACGGCCUACCAAGGCGACGAUCUAUAGCUGGUCUGAGAGGAUGAUCAGCCACACUGGGACUGAGACACGGCCCAGACUCCUACGGGAGGCAGCAGUAGGGAAUCUUGCGCAAUGGGCGAAAGCCUGACGCAGCCAUGCCGCGUGAAUGAUGAAGGUCUUAGGAUUGUAAAAUUCUUUCACCGGGGACGAUAAUGACGGUACCCGGAGAAGAAGCCCCGGCUAACUUCGUG